CGAAGUUGCUGGAACCACUGCUGAAACUAUCCAAAAUCACUUAAAACCAGCAACCAAACUCCUUCAAGGAUCAAAACACCAAAAACACCAAAACUUGCAUUAUUACCCUCAAAUUUCAACACUUAAGCUCAUUCCUCCAAUUCCAAUGUCAAAACUCACCUAACAAUCUUCAAAUCAGGUGAAAAAGGUCCCAAAACCAGUGUACAAUGAUGGAGAAUCACCCUCAGGUCCAAGAUCCAGCUUCCUCCAAAGAUAUCAUCAAGAAAACCCAAAACUCCCAAUUUCAGCUUCAAACUGCCAGCAAUAGA
RNAcentral lists this long non-coding RNA (308 nucleotides) under Ananas comosus (pineapple). Its description in RNAcentral is "long non-coding RNA (ACOM_LNC009814)". Lineage: Eukaryota; Viridiplantae; Streptophyta; Magnoliopsida; Poales; Bromeliaceae. The record is from RNAcentral.